CUACGGGGCGCAGCAGUCGAGAAUCUUCCGCAAUGGGCGCAAGCCUGACGGAGCAAUGCCGCGUGAGGGAUGACGGCCCUAGGGUUGUAAACCUCUGUCAGAAGGGACGAAGAACGUGACGGUACCUUCAGAGGAAGCCAUGGCUAACUACGUGCCAGCAGCCGCGGUAAUACGUAGAUGGCGAGCGUUAUUCGGCUUUACUGGGCGUAAAGGGUCCGUAGGGGGUCUGCCAAGUCUGAUGUGAAAUCCUGCGGCUCAACCGCGGAACUGCAUUGGAAACUGGCGGACUAGAGUGUGCGAGGGGUGAGCGGAAUUCCUGGUGUAGCGGUGGAAUGCGUAGAUAUCAGGAAGAACACCGAUGGCGAAGGCGGCUCACUGGCGCAUCACUGACCCUGAGGGACGAAAGCGUGGGUAGCAAACAGGAUUAGAUACCCUCGUAGUC
Molecule: ribosomal RNA, 442 nt
Filed under: uncultured bacterium
Lineage: Bacteria
Description: partial 16S ribosomal RNA
Rfam family: Bacterial small subunit ribosomal RNA
Source: RNAcentral